UAGGAAUAUUGCGCAAUGGGGGAAACCCUGACGCAGCAACACUGCGUGAAUGAUGAAGGCCUUAGGGUUGUAAAAUUCUUUUAGUAGGGAAGAAAAAAAUGACGGUACCUACAGAAAAAGCACCGGCAAACUUCGUGCCAGCAGCCGCGGUAAUACGAAGGGUGCAAGCGUUACUCGGAUUUACUGGGCGUAAAGCGUCCGCAGGCUGUUUAGUCAGUUUGAUGUGAAAGUCCACUGCUCAAAGGUGGAAGUGCAUUGAAUACUGCUAAACUAGAAUUAUGGAGAGGUGAAGGGAAUUCCUGGUGUAGAGGUGAAAUUCGUAGAUAUCAGGAGGAACAUCGGAGGCGAAGGCGCUUCACUGGACAUAUAUUGACGCUCAUGGACGAAAGUGUGGGGAGCGAACAGGAUUAGAUACCCUGGUAGUCCACACCGUAAACUUUGGAUACUAGAUGUCGGGGACCUAUCGCCUCGGUGUCGUAGCUAACGCGUUAAGUAUCCCGCCUGGGUAGUACGGUCGCAAGACUAAAACUCAAAGAAAUUGACGGGGACCCGCACAAGCGGUGGAUGAUGUUGUUUAA
Molecule: ribosomal RNA, 578 nt
Filed under: uncultured delta proteobacterium
Lineage: Bacteria; Deltaproteobacteria
Description: bacterial SSU rRNA
Rfam family: Bacterial small subunit ribosomal RNA
Source: RNAcentral